This 427-nucleotide ribosomal RNA is filed under the name uncultured bacterium. RNAcentral describes it as "bacterial SSU rRNA". It matches the Rfam family "Bacterial small subunit ribosomal RNA", at positions 355 to 774 of the family's 1533-position model. The record is from RNAcentral.
UGCGGAAUCUUGGGCAAUGGGCGAAAGCCUGACCCAGCCAUGCCGCGUGGAGGAUGAAGGCCUUCGGGUCGUAAACUCCUUUUCUGAGGGAAGAACAGUCGGCGGAGGAAAUGCCGUCGGCCUGACGGUACCUCAGGAAUAAGCAACGGCCAACUCCGUGCCAGCAGCCGCGGUAAUACGGAGGUUGCGAGCGUUGUUCGGAAUUACUGGGCGUAAAGGGAGCGCAGGCGGCCAGGUAAGUCUGAAGUGAAAUCCCGGGGCUCAACCCCGGACGUGCUUUGGAUACUGUCUGGCUUGAGUACGGGAGAGGAGAGCGGAAUUCCAGGUGUAGCGGUGAAAUGCGUAGAUAUCUGGAGGAACACCGAUGGCGAAAGCAGCUCUCUGGCCCGCUACUGACGCUGAGGCUCGAAAGCGUGGGGAGCGAACA